GACGAACGCUGGCGGCGUGCUUAACACAUGCAAGUCGAACGGAAAGGCCCUGCUUUUGUGGGGUGCUCGAGUGGCGAACGGGUGAGUAACACGUGAGUAACCUGCCCUUGACUUUGGGAUAACUUCAGGAAACUGGGGCUAAUACCGGAUAGGAGCUCCUGCUGCAUGGUGGGGGUUGGAAAGUUUCGGCGGUUGGGGAUGGACUCGCGGCUUAUCAGCUUGUUGGUGGGGUAGUGGCUUACCAAGGCUUUGACGGGUAGCCGGCCUGAGAGGGUGACCGGCGACAUUGGGACUGAGAUACGGCCCAGAAUCCUACGGGAGGCAGCAGUGGGGAAUAUUGCACAAUGGGCGGAAGCCUGAUGCAGCAACGCCGCGUGCGGGAUGACGGCCUUCGGGUUGUAAACCGAUGUCGCCUGUGACGAAGCGUGAGUGACGGUAAUGGGUAAAGAAGCACCGGCUAACUACGUG
RNAcentral lists this ribosomal RNA (468 nucleotides) under uncultured bacterium. RNAcentral's name for it is "partial 16S ribosomal RNA". It matches the Rfam family "Bacterial small subunit ribosomal RNA", at positions 28 to 507 of the family's 1533-position model. The record is from RNAcentral.